Oreochromis aureus is the source of this 759-nucleotide long non-coding RNA. NCBI's taxonomy places the organism in Eukaryota, Metazoa, Chordata, Actinopteri, Cichliformes, Cichlidae. The record is from Ensembl.
AUUACCACCAAUAUAGUUUUUAAAUUAAAUUUCAUUUUAAAUUGAAUCGCAAAUUGUAAUAAAACUGUCUACAGAGUUGAUUUAGAAAAUAAUGUUUAACACAAGCAUGUUGUAACGUCCCACUGUUUAAAAAAAAAAAGAAGUUUUUUGUACACUAGCAGUUUGCAGUCCCACACUCAUCCACACCCAAAGGUUCCUAAACUCCACCUUGAUUACUUGUUACUGGAAGUGCAUUACUUAAUCAUUAACUUUUUGGUUAUCUUUUAAUAAAUAGAUAAAGACUUGCAUUGUACUGACACUUUGACACUUAGCAUUGUUUGUUUAAAGCAGCAAGUCGAGUUUCUAGCAGGUAUUUCAUUCAUUUACACUUGUUUUUUUUGGUUUUUUUUGCAAACCAUGAUUAAACUCUAAUACAGACAAAGAGACAGUGGAGCUCUGUAGACCUGAAACUUGACUUUUGCACUUCUCAAUAUCAAUGAGACUACACGCUUCUAAAACUGUAUUGCAGAAGUGACAACGCUAUUUUCAAAAAACAGCUGCAUUUGUGAGUCAACAGAAAUGCACCUUAUGACUUGGGUAAGCUACGAAGACGCACCGCUUGAUGGAUUGUUGGAGCAUUACGGCUACCGUAGUCAGGAGCCUCGCAGAGGAAUCCGGAUCCAAAACUCCGUCAGCUUCAGGUCCCAAAGUCAAACAAUCACUGCAGCAUCACUGAGAGUUACAAACUGUCUAAAUUCUUUCAUCUUUAAUAAAAUGUUC